GGGAAGCAGGAGGGACCACCCUCCAAGGCUAAAUACUACCUAGUGACCGAUAGCGUAUAGUACCGUGAGGGAAAGGUGAAAAGAACCCCGGGAGGGGAGUGAAAUAGAACCUGAAACCCUGCACUUACAAGCUGUGGAAGCACAUUUCUUGUGUGACCGCGUACUUUUUGUAGAACGGGCCAACGAGUUACGUUAAGUAGCAAGGUUAAGCACUUAAGGUGUGGAGCCGUAGCGAAAGCGAGUUUUAACUGAGCGUUCAGUUACUUGACGUAGACCCGAAACCGGGCGACCUACCCAUGAGCAGGAUGAAGCGAAAGUAAAAUUUCGUGGAGGUCCGAACCCACGAGCGUUGAAAAGCUCGGGGAUGACUUGUGGGUAGCGGUGAAAUUCCAAUCGAGCCCGGAGAUAGCUGGUUCUCCCCGAAAUAGCUUUAGGGCUAGCCUCAAGGUGAGAGAUACGGAGGUAGAGCACUGAAUGUCCUAGGGGGUAUUGCACCUACCGAAGACUAUCAAACUCCGAAUGCCGUCAUCUUAUACUUGGGAGUCAGACUGUGGGUGAUAAGAUUCAUAGUCGAAAGGGCAACAGCCCAGAUCGUCAGCUAAGGUCCCUAAAUGUAAGUUAAGUGGUAAAGGAUGUGGGAUUGCACAGACAACCAGGAUGUUGGCUUAGAAGCAGCCACUCAUUCAAAGAGUGCGUAAUAGCUCACUGGUCGAGUGAUCCUGCGCCGAAGAUUUCCGGGGCUAAA
This 745-nucleotide ribosomal RNA is filed under the name Clostridioides sp. ZZV14-6105. RNAcentral describes it as "partial 23S ribosomal RNA". It matches the Rfam family "Bacterial large subunit ribosomal RNA", at positions 438 to 1185 of the family's 2925-position model. The record is from RNAcentral. Lineage: Bacteria; Bacillati; Bacillota; Clostridia; Peptostreptococcales; Peptostreptococcaceae.